GCCACGCCUUCUGCCAGACCACGCCCUCCCUACCAGCGCCCCACGCCCUCUCCCGCCACUCCAUGCCUCGCCCACUUUCCGCACCCCGCCCCGGUUGGCAUGCGCAAUGGGGCAGGCCCCGCUUGUUGAGGCUGGUACCCAGGUGGGCGUGUGGCUGAGCAGCCGGCGGGUGCUGAGACUACCUGGACCCCGAAGGGAAGCUCCCUGGCCCGCCUUUGAAACCAUGAAUUCGCUGGCUAGAAUGGAAAUGCUGGGGAACUCGGAAGCUGGAAGUUGCCUUUUCAACGCCGCCUUUCUCGCCAUCCCCUGUAUCCCUCCGGCUGCGACGAUCCUCCCUCUGGACCCCGUGGUCAGGCCCGCCCAGAGCGCCCCGUGGACCCUGCCUGACUGAACGGUCCACGUCUUGGUCUGGCCUCUUGAAACUAACUCAGCCAUGUUGUGAAAAAGAGAAAACAUCACAGUGAGCAGCCCUCAUUCGUGCAUUAUGCAGACAGGACACUCACGCGCACAGAUGAGGUUUGUAUACCUGCUCAAGUCGAGUAACUUGUCCAAAGCCCCACAGCUACUAAGGGGCUGGGCUGGGACACGGUGUCGACUCUGCCCGACUCCGGAGCCCAAGCACAGCCACCAGACCACACUCCUGCAGCUGCCCUCGUCAUUCCCGGGUCCUGGGGAGGGACGCUCCUGCAGGAAGCAGGAUUCCUCUGCGCUUCACGUCCAUCCAGUACUCUUCAGCGCUGGGAAUUAGCCCCGCCAGAGGAUGCGGAAGCAUUUUGGAAAGAUGGGGCAUAAUUUAGGCUGGACUCAGAUGACAACAAAGACUCUGAGGGAUGGCGGAACAGCAACUGAAAGAAACCUGGUUCCUUGAAUCGCCAGGAGAAGAGUCUGCUGCUGACUGAGGCCGUCUCUUUGAUUUUACUUGAGUGCAUUGUCUUUGAACUUCACCAACCUAUUUGUUACAUCAGCUGAGCCCACCCUAAUGAAUACAGCAUCUCUGUGCUGGAGACACAGUCCUGAACAGCAUAAUUUAGGAUCCUGCACCACAAAGGAGCCUCCAGACUAGCACUGGGAGAUGAGACAAGCAAUAAGCGAGUAAACCCAGGAAAAAUCAAGAUAAUAUUUUUGGAUAUCCCAGAAGCCUCAAUGCUGAGCUAUCAUUGUCUUGAUCAUUUUUGUGAGAGUUUACAACAAGAAUAAAAAAGAUGGACAGUGAAGAUUGCUCCUCCUGGACCGAAUUCUUUCUCUUUGGAACUACCAAUAACCCUGAGACUGAAGUGAACCUAUUUACCACAUUUCUAGUUGUUUAUCUUAUUAAUCUUCUGGAAAAUCUGGAAAUGAUUGUUUUAAUUAAAGUGGAUUCCCAGUUGCACACACCGAUGUACUUUUUCCUCAGUCACCUCUCUUCUGUGACCUCUGCUAUACCUCAGCAAUUGGGCCCAAGAUGCUGGUGGACCUCUUUGCCAAGAGCAAGUCAGUCCCCUUCUUUGGCUUGGCUCUGCAAUUUUUUAUCUUCCCUAUCUUUUCAGAUUCUGAGUGUCUACUGCUGGCAAUGGUGGCCUUUGAUUGGUACAAGGACAUUAGAAGCCCAUUGUUCUACAGUCAACAUGUGCAGCAGAGUGUGCUUCCUGCUCGUGGCUGGGGUUUAUCUGGUGGGAAUGGCAGAUGCUUUGAUACACACCACAUUAACAUUCUGCUUGGGUUUCUCUGGGUCAAAUGAGAUGAGCCAUUUCUUUUGUCAUAUCUCUCCUCCUCUAUCACUCUCUUACUCAGAUACACAGAUCAAUGAGUUAGUGACAUGCACCAUUAUUGGCUUCACUGAACUGAGUACCAUUUCAGGAGUUCUUGUCUCCUAUUGUUGUAUUAUCCUAUCCUUCUUGAAGAUCCACACUGCUGAGGGGAGGCUCAAAGUGUUCUCUACCUGCGUCUCCCACUUAACUGCUGUGGCAAUUUCCCAAGGAACUACACUCUUCAUGUAUUUCAGGGCAAGUCCUUCCUACACCCUGGAUCAAGACAAGUGAACUCGUUGUGUUACACCCUUGUGGUUCCCACAUGAAACCCUCUGAUUUAUAGCUACAGAACAAGAUGUCAAACGGCCCUGCAGAAACUGAAAACUAGAUUUGGUUUAAGUAAAUAUGUAUAUAGUGUAAGCAAAUAUGUCUUUAUAUAUGUAUACACACAAACAUACUCUUGGGUGUCUCAGAUUGUUUAUUAUAGUGCAAAGUCAUCUCAACUACCUUAAUUAAUAAAAUAAGUAUUUUACUAA
This is a long non-coding RNA of Equus caballus (horse), 2263 nucleotides long. RefSeq lists it as uncharacterized. The record is from RefSeq and is a predicted model, not a curated record. NCBI's taxonomy places the organism in Eukaryota, Metazoa, Chordata, Mammalia, Perissodactyla, Equidae.